UAGAGACCGGCGCACGGGUGCGUAACGCGUAUGCAAUCUACCUUGACAGGGGGAUAGCCCAGAGAAAUUUGGAUUAAUACCCCAUAGUAUUAUUGAAUGGCAUCAUUUAAUUAUUAAAGUUCCAACGGUACAAGAUGAGCAUGCGUCCUAUUAGCUAGUUGGUGUGGUAACGGCACACCAAGGCUACGAUAGGUAGGGGUCCUGAGAGGGAGAUCCCCCACACUGGUACUGAGACACGGACCAGACUCCUACGGGAGGCAGCAGUGAGGAAUAUUGGACAAUGGGCGCAAGCCUGAUCCAGCCAUGCCGCGUGCAGGAAGAAGCAUCUAUGGUGUGUAAACUGCUUUUGUACGGGAAGAAACACUGCU
This 368-nucleotide ribosomal RNA is filed under the name uncultured bacterium. Its description in RNAcentral is "bacterial SSU rRNA". It matches the Rfam family "Bacterial small subunit ribosomal RNA", at positions 89 to 457 of the family's 1533-position model. The record is from RNAcentral.